RNAcentral lists this ribosomal RNA (428 nucleotides) under uncultured bacterium. Its description in RNAcentral is "bacterial SSU rRNA". It matches the Rfam family "Bacterial small subunit ribosomal RNA", at positions 8 to 482 of the family's 1533-position model. The record is from RNAcentral.
AGAGUUUGAUCCUGGCUCAGGAUGAACGCUGGCGGCGUGCUUAACACAUGCAAGUCGAACGAGCCCUUCGGGGUUAGUGGCGGACGGGUGAGUAACGCGUGAGGAUCUGCCUUCAGGUUGGGGACAACCACUGGAAACGGUGGCUAAUACCCAAUGUGCCGAGAGGUGAAAGGCUUGCUGCCUGAAGAUGAACUCGCGUCUGAUUAGCUAGUUGGUGAGGUAAGGGCUCACCAAGGCGACGAUCAGUAGCUGGUCUAAGAGGAUGAUCAGCCACACUGGGACUGAGACACGGCCCAGACUCCUACGGGAGGCAGCAGUGGGGAAUUUUCCGCGAUGGGCGAAAGCCUGACGGAGCAACGCCGCGUGAGGGAGGAAGGCUCUUGGGUUGUAAACCUCUUUUGUCAGGGAAGAAGAACUGACGGUACCGA